This 484-nucleotide ribosomal RNA is filed under the name uncultured bacterium. RNAcentral's name for it is "bacterial SSU rRNA". It matches the Rfam family "Bacterial small subunit ribosomal RNA", at positions 501 to 982 of the family's 1533-position model. The record is from RNAcentral.
CUACGUGCCAGCAGCCGCGGUAAUACGUAGGGUGCGGGCGUUGUCCGGAAUUAUUGGGCGUAAAGAGCUUGUAGGCGGUUUGUCGCGUCUGCCGUGAAAACCUAGGGCUUAACUCUGGGCGUGCGGUGGGUACGGGCAGGCUAGAGUGUGGUAGGGGAGACUGGAAUUCCUGGUGUAGCGGUGAAAUGCGCAGAUAUCAGGAGGAACACCGAUGGCGAAGGCAGGUCUCUGGGCCAUAACUGACGCUGAGAAGCGAAAGCAUGGGGAGCGAACAGGAUUAGAUACCCUGGUAGUCCAUGCCGUAAACGUUGGGCGCUAGGUGUGGGGCUCAUUCCACGAGUUCUGUGCCGCAGCUAACGCAUUAAGCGCCCCGCCUGGGGAGUACGGCCGCAAGGCUAAAACUCAAAGGAAUUGACGGGGGCCCGCACAAGCGGCGGAGCAUGCGGAUUAAUUCGAUGCAACGCGAAGAACCUUACCAAGGCUU